GGCGGCGGAGAUGGAGGAGGGAGGCCGGGACAAGGCGCCGGUGCAGCCCCAGCAGUCUCCAGCGGCGGCCCCCGGCGGCACGGACGAGAAGCCGAGCGGCAAGGAGCGGCGGGAUGCCGGGGACAAGGACAAAGAACAGGAGCUGGUGAGGCGCGACCCCGAGAGUCGGCGAAGGAGGCCGCGGGGCUGAGUCACGGCGGCUCCGCAGGCCUCAGGCCCGACACCCAACUACCCCACCGCGCCAGGGAGAGGGCGAUUGGGGCGACCCUCGGGACUCCCGGCACCUUGCCUCUCUGCUCCUCAUUCUCCGUUCCGCGCUGUCACCUCCGCCGUCCCCACCAACCCUCACCACCGCCGCGUGAGGUGGACUCGGGCAGGUCAUUGUCACCUCCGUUUCCUAGAGUGGCAUUCAAGUAGAGCCUGAUUCAGAACCCAGGCUGAUUUCUCACCAGGGCUUCCCAUUCCCACUCGGUUUCCUUGUCCACCUGGCGCCUCCUAAGGAGGCAGGCUUAUUCUUCACCUGCCCCGGGUAAGUGGGAGGGGACGUCUUUGGGAUUCCUUCUCUUCAUGAGCUGCUUCUCCCAACCCUCCAGUCUGAAGAGGAUAAACAGCUUCAGGAUGAACUGGAGAUGCUCGUGGAACGACUAGGGGAGAAGGACACAUCCCUGUAUCGACCAGCGCUGGAGGAAUUGCGAAGGCAGAUUCGUUCUUCUACAACUUCCAUGACUUCAGUGCCCAAGCCUCUCAAAUUUCUGCGUCCACACUAUGGCAAACUGAAGGAAAUCUAUGAGAACAUGGCCCCUGGGGAGAAUAAG
RNAcentral lists this small RNA (815 nucleotides) under Pan troglodytes (chimpanzee). RNAcentral's name for it is "retained intron". Lineage: Eukaryota; Metazoa; Chordata; Mammalia; Primates; Hominidae. The record is from RNAcentral.